RNAcentral lists this ribosomal RNA (504 nucleotides) under uncultured bacterium. Its description in RNAcentral is "partial 16S ribosomal RNA". It matches the Rfam family "Bacterial small subunit ribosomal RNA", at positions 30 to 523 of the family's 1533-position model. The record is from RNAcentral.
AUUGAACGCUGGCGGCAGGCCUAACACAUGCAAGUCGAACGGUAGCACAGAGAGCUUGCUCUCGGGUGACGAGUGGCGGACGGGUGAGUAACGUCUGGGAAACUGCCCGAUGGAGGGGGAUAACUACUGGAAACGGUAGCUAAUACCGCAUAACGUCGCAAGACCAAAGUGGGGGACCUUCGGGCCUCACACCCUCGGAUGUGCCCAGAUGGGAUUAGCUAGUAGGUGGGGUAAUGGCUCACCUAGGCGACGAUCCCUAGCUGGUCUGAGAGGAUGACCAGCCACACUGGAACUGAGACACGGUCCAGACUCCUACGGGAGGCAGCAGUGGGGAAUAUUGCACAAUGGGCGCAAGCCUGAUGCAGCCAUGCCGCGUGUAUGAAGAAGGCCUUCGGGUUGUAAAGUACUUUCAGCGGGGAGGAAGGCGGUGAAGUUAAUAACUUCACCGAUUGACGUUACCCGCAGAAGAAGCACCGGCUAACUCCGUGCCAGCAGCCGCAGUAA